UUCCUGUGAAAUAAAUAUAUUAGUUUCAUUUUGGAGUUGAUACAUUGGACUCGUACUUGUACUCUUUGAUUCAGGUUAUCAUGUAUAGUAUUUAUUUUGAUAAUUGUAGAGCGGUACAUGUUGCUACCUUCUUUUUGAGACCUCGUGACUAUAAUUUGAUUUGGUUCAACAUGUACAUAUAGAACCCUUUUGUUGGUAUUAUGUCGCAUUUGUUGUGACAUAGUCUUUUUGUUAGAAUAUACCGUAGGUUAUACCUGAGCUAUAACCACCUGUGGGGGUACCACAGGCAUGUCAUCUUGGCACGAGAGGCAUGACACUUUCCGUGGCGGUGUGAUUAGUCCACGGCGUCUCCGUUUUGGGCUCCGGAGGAAGUGGGCCAUUUGAUGUUUUGUUGUGGGAGGCGUAUUGGUUAACUCUAGUUUUCUGUUCUGCGGAUUGGUGAUGUUGUGCCAAACACACCUAUCCGAUUUGCAUACAUUUGGAUUCGCAGUCCAAUGAGUGAUUUGCCUGUGUGGCAUUAUUUUGACUUGCCUGUGUGGCAUUAUUUUGAUGUGCCUUUGUGGCAUCAUUUGAUUUGCCUGUGUGGCAUUAUUUUGACUUGCUUGUGUGGCAAGGUAUAUUUCUGAGCUCAUUCGAUAUGAAAUAACUCCAACAAUUUUUUUCUGCCUAUUAUUUUAUUGGAUUAGUUUUGUUGGUUUCUGUUCAGUUCAAGUCAUUGAGUUAGUUACUUCAAUUCGUUAUUUCUUUACUCUUCUAUUUGUUUCGUCAAUUACAUUGAUUCAGAUAUAUUCCAUUCAGAUCUUUGGAUAUUAUAUUUUCGUUCAUAUUUGCACUUGAGGCUUUGUUCAGUAUUUUGUCUCAGUUGUUUUCCUAUAUCAGUUGUAUAUCUUUUGUAUAUCUGUAUCCGUACUGGGCAAUUGGCUCAUGAUGUAUUUUUCUUCCGGCAGGUUUGCAGGGGUGAUUAAGGGCUAGUGUGAUGAGAGUGUUGCCUUUGACCAUCUAGGUUAAUUCAAUUUUUUUUGUGUUGAUUAUUUUGACUCUAGUUGGAGAAUUGUAUUUAGUACCUUAUUAAUGGACACCACUAUUAAUAUUUUGAGGUUGCUAGUGCUCUGUUUAUUUAUUUUGAGAUUUGUUGUGCUUUGCACGUGACCUCCCUUUCCUUUUCGGGAAGGGGGUGUUAAAGAGAUGGUAUCAAAGCUUAGGUUCUUUCUUGUAGAAAACCUAUUUAGGUUUGACCUGUGAGGUUGUGGGUAAAUCAUUGGGUAGACGUAGGAGUUUGAUUUGAUUUUGUUCUUUGUUUGGUUGGUCUUAAUUUUGACCAAGUGUUUUUAGCUCUUUAAAUUGUAGUUGAUUUGAGAAAGGCGAGUAACUUGUUAAGAUUAUUAUUGUUAUAUGCGUUGGAGCAAUAAUAUUAGUUAAGGAUUGUGACUUGAUCAUUAAGGAGAAUAAUGUCAUAUUUUGUUCAGUUAAUAAAUGAUUAUACGAUUAUGAUAUGAGCAUUUGUAUCAGUAAGUUUUGAUAUUGGAGAAUUAUUUGUUAAUAGUUAUUUCAGGUAAUUACAAAGUAUUAUGAUUUUGGAAUUAAGGAUUUUAUUUGGGUUAGAUUCUUAUUUUUGUUAAGUUGUGAUUAAUUUGAGGUAUGUGAAUCGGUGAGAUAAUAUGAUAAGGUGAAAACUAUUAAGUACAAAGGAUCUCUUGUAAUUUUGAGUUGUUGUAAAGAUUCGAGGUAAUUAGAUUAAUCUUUUGGAGUAAAUGAAUUUUGCGAUUAAUUUCUAGUGGAAUAUUGGAGUUAUCUUAUAUGAAAUUUUGAGUGAUAGUAUGAGGAGAUAUAGAAAUUUGUUGGGUUAAUAUUUGAAUUAAGAGAAUGAUUGAUUCAUUGAAUGAUUAGAUAGUAAGUGAUGAAUUCAAUUGAUUUUGAGAGAUCUUGAAUAAUUGUAGUUUGCUUAUACAGAUAGUAAAAUAUGUGACUUGGAGUUUGAUAUGGGUGAUAAGGAGAUCUUGGUAGUAUAUUUUUGGUGAAAUAAUAUUUGAGAACUAAUUUGAUUUGAGGUUAUGAUAUUUUGAAAUUCUUGAGGGCUUAGGGAGAGUUAGUAAUAUAGUUUGCAUAAUUUUUUUGUUUAUCCGAUGUCAUUGAAAUUUUGCAUGAAUUUAUGUAAAAUUUAAUAAAAAUAUUUUGUUAGAUCUUUGUCAUGUGUGGAAUAUAAACGUUUUACGAAUUAAAAAUAAUUUUAAAUAUUUUGGGUAUUCGAAUCGUAUUUAGACGAAGAUAAAUUUUUGUGAUUUUGAAUUAUUUUCCGAAGAGUACAUUUACAAGAAUGAAACUCAAAGAUAUUAGCGACGACCCGCACCAAUGGUAGAUCAUGUGAUCUAAUUUGAUGCAACGCGAAGAACCUUACCAAGGCUUGACACGGUAGCUGACGAAUCUUUUACAAGUACAUAUAUAAUUACGUGGACCGAUGACUUAUCCGCGUUGAUCGUUACAAAUGGCGGCGCUACGUCUUAACUAAAAUUUAUGAAUAAUUAUGUAAUUUAAAUAAAAAUAUUUUUCUUUGUAAGUUAUUUGAAUUCCGAGGACGGAAUUAUUUUUAAGGGGUGAAAAAUGUAAUAACUCAUUUUUUUUAUCAAAUAAUAAUUGAUUUUAUCUUAUACAAUUGUGUUUAAAUUGGAAAAGGUAAAUGAUUUUGUUUCCCUCUUUUCUUCCUUGUUUUGUUUGGAAAAUUAAAUUCUUUUAGUAGAUAAUUAAAUAACUGAUUAAUUAAAAUUGAGAAAGAUAAUUUCUUUUGUUAAAGUCUUGUGGUAAAAUUAUACGGAGCGUGAAGCUACUUAGGAGAUAGAGGAGUCUAUUCAAGUGGAGUAGGCAUCUUUUGAUAAUUAGGUACGUUCAUUCUUUUGAUUCCGGGGAUGGAAUCCUUUUUAAGGGGUAGGUGAUGUAAUACCCGGAAGAAAAAAAUAUUAAGUAAUAAAAAAUAUUUUGUUUUAAAACAUAUUAAUUGGACUUUGUCAUUUAUUUGGGUCAAACUAAUUAUUUAAUUUGUGUGGGCUAAUAAUAUUAAUAAGUAUGGAUAAAUUAAUUUGAUAAAAUUGGGCUUUGAAAUUAAUUGGGUUUAAAUUAUAUGUGGAUAAUAAAUCCUAUUAGAACUAGGAGAAUUAAUUAAAUAUUGAUAAUAAAUAACUAAAACACAAACCCUAUUAUAUACUCAAGCCAUUAUUCGUCUGAAAGAAAAAGAAGAGGCGACACUGUGAAGAUUAGGAAUUGAAUCCUUUUUGUUAUACAUGUAAGUCUGUUAAUUUGUGGUUUCUUAUUAAAAUUAUUGAGUAUAAUAUUCAUAUAUAUGUAUAUAUAUGUGUGUUAUCAGACUUCUUCUUGCACAAAAUUAGAGGUGUUUUAAUAGAAAUUUUACUAUUAUUGAUGGUACACAUGAUUGAUUAGACUAAUUAUGCAUAUGUAUAUAUAAGUUUGCCAAGUUAUUGUUGGAUUAGAUUACAUUGGAUUAUAUUUAUAUAUAUAUUGAGCAUGUAAAAAAAACAUUAAAAGGAUGAUUUAAAAAAACUACUGUAUGUUGCUAUAUAUAAUAAGGUACGGUUUUGUUUAAAAAAAAAAAAAAAAGCUUUCCGAAUCAUGAUUAAGUUUUCUACAGGUUAACCACCACUGACUCAUGAUAUAUAUACUUAUAUAACAUUAUUACUUUAUUGAUUGAAUAAAGUUUAUUAUAUAUAUAAUAUCUUUAGGUUAUUAAUUUGUUAAAGUAUAAUAAAAAGGGAAAAAAUGAUUAGAAGAUAAAUUAUAAAUUAAUUAAAGUUAUUUUGUAAAAUUGAUGUAAUUGGAGAAUCAAUUUCAUAUUAUAUAAAUUAUAAUUAGUAAGUAACUUAUAAUUGUAUUAUUAUUACCUUUUUAUUUGAUCGGACGGAGGGAAUUUAAAGAGUUAUUUUUGGAAUAUAAAUUUUGGAGUAUUAGUAAUUGAUAAAAGGCGAUGAUUAAAGGCAUAUUAAAUAGAUUAUGAAUUAUUUUAGAAUUAUUAGUUUGAAUUGUUUUUAAUUUGAGGUGAAUAUGUUUAGGUUGCGAAUAACGUUUCGUAUUUGUUUUCAUUGGCAAUUGAGGGUAAGAUUUUGUGGAGUGUGCUAUAAAUGGUUUGGAAGUAUCAGGUACGGAUUCCGUACUCUUUCUACGAUACUCUUGUUAAAUUUGAUUUGUUCGUUUUGUCGCUUGUUCGAAUUUCGUUAUUAUUUCACAUAAUUAUUUCCUGUGAAAUAAAUAUAUUAGUUUCAUUUUGGAGUUGAUACAUUGGACUCGUACUUGUACUCUUUGAAUCAGGUUAUCAUGUAUAGUAUUUAUUUUGAUAAUUGUAGAGCGGUACAUGUUGCUACCUUCUUUUUGAGACAUCGUGACUAUAAUUUGAUUUGGUUCAACAUGUACAUAGAGAACCCUUUUGUUGGUAUUAUGUCGCAUUUGUUGUGACAUAGUCUUUUUGUUAGAAUAUACCGUAGGGUAUACCUGAGCUAUAACCACCUGUGGGGGUACCACAAGCAUGUCGUCUUGGCACUAGAGGCAUGACACUUUUCGUGGCGGUGUGAUUAGUCCACGGCGUCUCCGUUUUGAGCUCCGGAGGAAGUGGGCCAUUUGGUGUUUUG
Molecule: long non-coding RNA, 4628 nt
Filed under: Panax ginseng (ginseng)
Lineage: Eukaryota; Viridiplantae; Streptophyta; Magnoliopsida; Apiales; Araliaceae
Description: long non-coding RNA (PGIN_LNC009683)
Source: RNAcentral